CAGCAGCCGCGGGAACACGAAGGGGGCUAGCGUUGCUCGGAAUUACUGGGCGUAAAGGGCGCGUAGGCGGGUCGUUAAGUUGGGGGUGAAAGCCCAGGGCUCAACCCUGGAAUUGCCUUCAAUACUGGCGACCUAGAGUAUGAGAGAGGUGUGUGGAACUCCGAGUGUAGAGGUGAAAUUCGUAGAUAUUCGGAAGAACACCAGUGGCGAAGGCGACACACUGGCUCAUUACUGACGCUGAGGCGCGAAAGCGUGGGGAGCAAACAGGAUUAGAUACCCGCGUAGUCCCUGUCUCUUAUAC
RNAcentral lists this ribosomal RNA (301 nucleotides) under uncultured bacterium. RNAcentral describes it as "partial 16S ribosomal RNA". It matches the Rfam family "Bacterial small subunit ribosomal RNA", at positions 509 to 807 of the family's 1533-position model. The record is from RNAcentral.